CUCCCGGCCCGUCAACGACGCUCAUGCUCGAAGGCGCGGGUAUCAAACAGGAUUAGGUACCCUGGUAGUCCGCGCAGUAAACGAUGGACACUCGCGGUUUGGCCCUUGUGGCUGAGCCGCCCAGCGAAAGCGUUAAGUGUCCCACCUGGGGAGUACGCCGGCAACGGUGAAACUCAAAGGAAUUGACGGGGGCCCGCACAAGCGGAGGAACAUGUGGUUUAAUUCGAUGAUACGCGAGGAACCUUACCCGGGCUUGAAAUGUGCAUGACGGGAGGCAGAGACGCCUCCUUCCUUCGGGCAUGCAUGUAGGUGCUGCAUGGUUGUCGUCAGCUCGUGCCGUGAGGUGUCGGCUUAAGUGCCAUAACGAGCGCAACCCCUUCCGCCGGUUACCAUCGGGUCAUGCCGGGGACUCCGGCGGCACUGCCGCCGCAAGGCGCGAGGAAGGCGGGGAUGACGUCAAAUCAGCACGGCCCUUACGUCCGGGGCCACACACGUGUUACAAUGGGGGGCACAGCGAGCUGGACCAGGGCGACCUGGUUCGAAUCAUGAAAUCCCCUCCCAGUUCGGACUGGAGUCUGCAACCCGACUCCACGAAGCCGGA
Molecule: ribosomal RNA, 601 nt
Filed under: uncultured bacterium
Lineage: Bacteria
Description: bacterial SSU rRNA
Rfam family: Bacterial small subunit ribosomal RNA
Source: RNAcentral